Molecule: long non-coding RNA, 525 nt
Organism: Choloepus didactylus (southern two-toed sloth)
Lineage: Eukaryota; Metazoa; Chordata; Mammalia; Pilosa; Megalonychidae
Exons: 3
Source: RefSeq, a predicted model, not a curated record
CUUACAUUAGAAGUCCAGUACAAAACAGAUGUGAACAGAUGGCCUGCCAUUUUAAUCUUCCCCACAUCUCCCUGGAAUAGUUCUGAAGAAACCAGAGGCCAAUGUGAAGACAAGUUAUCUACAGUUUCCUCACUUUCACACACAUCGCAGUGGGACUGGCCAUAUUUCGAGUACUGAAUAGUCAUAUGUGGCUAUUGGCUACCAUACUGGACAAAACAGAUCUAAGGUUUUCCUUUUGCUGUCUUCACUGCUAGGAAGCUAAAUUGUAAAAACCUAGAUUACUUUUUAAACAUGGGAAGCCUUCAGAUGGUUUUUCAACUUUAUAAGUCUUACUCUUGGUGAAAGGAAGAUGAGCUGUAUAUUUUAGCUAUGCAGAAAGAAAAAGAAAUUUACACAUCUUUAAGACUAACCAAGAAAAUAAUCUCAUCUGAAAAAAAUAUUGAGGGGAAUAAGGUUGAAGAGAAAAAUUUUUUAGGACAUUUCUGACUUCCCCUCUUAUACAGAAAAAUUUUUCAAUAAAGUGGA